Molecule: long non-coding RNA, 709 nt
Filed under: Cairina moschata (Muscovy duck)
Lineage: Eukaryota; Metazoa; Chordata; Aves; Anseriformes; Anatidae
Description: domestica (muscovy Duck (domestic type)) lncRNA (ENSCMMG00000008379.1)
Source: RNAcentral
AAAAAAAGUCUUUCAAUCUCUUGUCAUGUGAGAGAUUUUUCCAUAUCCCUAAUCAUUCUUGAUGGUCUGCUCUGAAUCACUUCUAAUUAUGCAAUAUUAUUUUUGAAAUCGGGUGGUCAUACCAUACAUUGUGGCUGAGAAUGCUUGAUUUACAUGUGCUACACACAAUUUUUCCAUAUUAUUCAGCAUCCCAUUUGCUCUUCUGACUGUGAUACUUCAACCUUACACUUUCCAGCAUUGUAUCUUGGUAACUCCUUGCCUUAAUGUGAUUACAGCCACUGCCGCCCUGUGCCUGCGCCCCGCUUCCUUUGCUCCUGGACAUUUCUUGCUCGACUGCUGGGGUCUCUUCACCUCUCUUCAGUAAGUGCUUUCUGACAAAGUUAGCUUCUUCCAUGGGCCUUGCAGACUCUCAUCCAUGCCACUGAAACACUUUCAUCAUCCUUCAGUACUGAAGCAGAACUUAAAAAUGAUAAACUAAGUGUCUGAUCCUGCAAACAGUUACACAUGCGAGUCAUCUUGUUGACUUCAAAGGAGCUGCUCACAUGAGUAAAGUUACAUGUCACAACACCGAGAGAGGAGGAGGAGGAAGGGAGAGAAAGGGAAAACUAAAAACCCUGAAGGAUGGUUCUCAAAAAUUCUAGCGGAACCAGGGGGAAUUCCUCGGAGAGCGGGAGCCAGCCGGCGGAGAUACGUUCUGGAUUUAUCGUGA